CCUACGAGAGGCAGCAGUGGGGAAUAUUGGGCAAUGGGCGCAAGCCUGACCCAGCAACGCCGCGUGAAGGAAGAAGGCUUUCGGGUUGUAAACUUCUUUUCUCAGGGACGAAGCAAGUGACGGUACAUGAGGAAUAAGCCACGGCUAACUACGUGCCAGCAGCCGCGGUAAUACGUAGGUGGCAAGCGUUAUCCGGAUUUACUGGGUGUAAAGGGCGUGGAGGCGGGAAAGCAAGUCAGAUGUGAAAACCAUGGGCUCAACCUGUGGCCUGCAUUUGAAACUGUUUUUCUUGAGUACUGGAGAGGCAGACGGAAUUCCUAGUGUAGCGGUGAAAUGCGUAGAUAUUAGGAGGAACACCAGUGGCGAAGGCGGUCUGCUGGACAGCAACUGACGCUGAGGCGCGAAAGCGUGGGGAGCAAACAGGAUUAGAUACCCCUGUAGUC
Molecule: ribosomal RNA, 443 nt
Filed under: uncultured bacterium
Lineage: Bacteria
Description: partial 16S ribosomal RNA
Rfam family: Bacterial small subunit ribosomal RNA
Source: RNAcentral